AUUUUACUGGCUCAUAAGCAUGAUGACUAGGCGUCCACAUGCUUCCGUGACAUGUGCCUCCCACAAAACUUUAUGCAAUAUCAGCAUAUUACCAGCCUAACA
Molecule: small nucleolar RNA, 102 nt
Organism: Jaculus jaculus (lesser Egyptian jerboa)
Lineage: Eukaryota; Metazoa; Chordata; Mammalia; Rodentia; Dipodidae
Product: small nucleolar RNA U13
Exons: 1
Source: RefSeq, a predicted model, not a curated record